RNAcentral lists this ribosomal RNA (433 nucleotides) under uncultured bacterium. Its description in RNAcentral is "partial 16S ribosomal RNA". It matches the Rfam family "Bacterial small subunit ribosomal RNA", at positions 29 to 507 of the family's 1533-position model. The record is from RNAcentral.
AACGAACGCUGGCGGCAUGCCUAACACAUGCAAGUCGAACGAGACCUUCGGGUCUAGUGGCGCACGGGUGCGUAACGCGUGGGAACCUGCACUUAGGUUCGGAAUAACUCCCCGAAAGGGGUGCUAAUACCGGAUAAUGUCUUCGCACCAAAGAUGUAUCGCCUUUGGAUGGGCCCGCGUUGGAUUAGCUAGUUGGUAGGGUAAAAGCCUACCAAGGCGACGAUCCAUAGCUGGUCUGAGAGGAUGAUCAGCCACACUGGGACUGAGACACGGCCCAGACUCCUACGGGAGGCAGCAGUGGGUAAUAUUGGACAAUGGGCGAAAGCCUGAUCCAGCAAUGCCGCGUGAGUGAUGAAGGCCUUAGGGUUGUAAAGCUCUUUUACCCGAGAUGAUAAUGACAGUACCGGGUGAAUAAGCUCCGGCUAACUCCGUG